UUACCAUUGUUGGAGCAAAUCCUUUUGUUUCUUCUUCACUUCGUACACCCUCUUCCAAAAUCACCAACUUUUCCUGCAGUCUUAUCAUCCCAAACGCCGUUGUUCCGAAGCACCACUUAGCUGCAUUGCGACCAGUAUUUCAUCUUCUCUUAUGCCCCCAAAAGGCACCAUAGAACCCGCAUUUUCCUACCCCAUUUGGUUGCUUCCAUGGAAGAAGUGGAGCAAACGUACAAUGCUGAGCCACAAUCAGAGGAGACCUUGCUGUUCAAACUGGAAGAAAUGUGGUACAUGGAAGUGAUAGCCCUGACAAUGGCAAGCGUGAAAUAGGUCAGUUCUUUCCUAGUUUAG
Nicotiana tabacum (common tobacco) is the source of this 348-nucleotide non-coding RNA. The record is from RefSeq and is a predicted model, not a curated record. NCBI's taxonomy places the organism in Eukaryota, Viridiplantae, Streptophyta, Magnoliopsida, Solanales, Solanaceae.